GACAGCCAGGAUGUUGGCUUAGAAGCAGCCAUCAUUUAAAGAAAGCGUAAUAGCUCACUGGUCGAGUCGGCCUGCGCGGAAGAUGUAACGGGGCUAAACCAUGCACCGAAGCUGCGGCAGCGACGCUUAUGCGUUGUUGGGUAGGGGAGCGUUCUGUAAGCCUGCGAAGGUGUGCUGUGAGGCAUGCUGGAGGUAUCAGAAGUGCGAAUGCUGACAUAAGUAACGAUAAAGCGGGUGAAAAGCCCGCUCGCCGGAAGACCAAGGGUUCCUGUCCAACGUUAAUCGGGGCAGGGUGAGUCGACCCCUAAGGCGAGGCCGAAAGGCGUAGUCGAUGGGAAACAGGUUAAUAUUCCUGUACUUGGUGUUACUGCGAAGGGGGGACGGAGAAGGCUAUGUUGGCCGGGCGACGGUUGUCCCGGUUUAAGCGUGUAGGCUGGUUUUCCAGGCAAAUCCGGAAAACUAAGGCUGAGGCGUGAUGACGAGGCACUACGGUGCUGAAGCAACAAAUGCCCUGCUUCCAGGAAAAGCCUCUAAGCAUCAGGUAACAUCAAAUCGUACCCCAAACCGACACAGGUGGUCAGGUAGAGA
This 588-nucleotide ribosomal RNA is filed under the name Escherichia coli. RNAcentral's name for it is "partial 23S ribosomal RNA". It matches the Rfam family "Bacterial large subunit ribosomal RNA", at positions 1088 to 1677 of the family's 2925-position model. The record is from RNAcentral. Lineage: Bacteria; Pseudomonadati; Pseudomonadota; Gammaproteobacteria; Enterobacterales; Enterobacteriaceae.